UUAAAUAUUAACUAUUACUAUGGCACUGGUUUUGAGAAAUAUAUAAAUAAACACUAUAUUGACUACACAAAACAAUACUAUCUGGUAACGAUUUAAAAAUAUAUGUAGAAUUGAAAUAUACAAAAACAGUAUCCCAAAGAAUGUGUGUAUGUAGGCACAUGAAUGGAAUUAGAGUCCUGAGGUUCUUGCCUUGUGUAGAAAGUAGUAAAAGUACA
RNAcentral lists this long non-coding RNA (215 nucleotides) under Pan troglodytes (chimpanzee). RNAcentral's name for it is "long non-coding RNA NONPTRT001040". Lineage: Eukaryota; Metazoa; Chordata; Mammalia; Primates; Hominidae. The record is from RNAcentral.